This 5117-nucleotide long non-coding RNA is filed under the name Glycine max (soybean). Its description in RNAcentral is "long non-coding RNA (GMAX_LNC003739)". The record is from RNAcentral. Lineage: Eukaryota; Viridiplantae; Streptophyta; Magnoliopsida; Fabales; Fabaceae.
UGUGCUGCCAGCUCAGCUCCUCAUCAUUUGCAAUUCCUUCUUCAAGCAUAAUCUCUGAGGUAUGCGGGCCUGGUAAUCUUCCUUUUCGGUUUUGCUGUUGGUACCCCUGUGUUUAUGUCUGUUGCUUCCUCUGUGUCUUCUUCUGGUGUUGCUCUGUUGCUAUCAUCUUCCCGUGGCCCUUGGAGAAUCACCUUGUCCUCAAGGUGAUAGGUCCGCUUCAGUUGAUCCCAAUCUUCCCAAGAGGUGUCAUCAGGAAGUAACCCCUUCCAUUGAACUAAAACCUCCCAUGGUCCCUCAGUGGUUGCAGCACGACGAGUAUCCAAAAUUGCCAAGGGAGAAAUAAUUGGCUGAUUAUUGAAGAAUUGGUCUGGAAGUGAGGGGGUCUGACUGAUGGCGGGAUCCCCAUGGAAAGGUUUUAAAAGUGAACAGUGGAAUAUGGGAUGAAUUCGCGUGCCCUCUGGUAAUUCCAAACAAUAAGCAACCUUACCAAUUCUCUCGAGAAUCUUGAAGGGACCGUAGAAGCGCUUAGCUAACUUGCCGGAGCUGUGCUGAGCAUCCUUGGCCGAACGCUGUCGGUAGGGCCGAAGCUUUAAAAGUACCCAAUUACCAACCUCAUAGUCAACUUCACGCCGUUUAGUAUCAGCAGUGCGUUUCAUCGUAGCUUGGGCUUUUAAUAGCUUCUGACGAAUGCAAAGAAAAACUUCCUCACGGUGCUUCAGAGUAUCAUCCACCGCAUCUAGUUUGGAGGAGCCAGUGAUAUAGUCUGGAAAAGAGAAAGGUUUCCGCCCAAACGUUAUCUCAUACGGCGUAGAGCCCGUGCCUGCAUUUCAGGAAGUGUUAUGCGAUAAUUCAACCCAGGGAAGGAAUCUGCCCCAAGUCCCCGGCCGGCGGUGCACGAAAGCCCGCAAAUAUUGCUCUAUUACUCUGUUCAUGACUUCAGUCUGACCAUCACUCUGUGGAUGGUAGGCUGAACUCAUUCGAAGCCUUGUACCACUCAAUUUAAAAAGCUCCUGCCAAAAGGUACUCAGGAAAAGUGGAUCGCGAUCUGAAACUAAACUCCGAGGUUGACCAUGGAGUUUGACCACGAUGUCAAUGAACAAAGAGGCGACCAUGUGUGCCGUAUGCGCGGUGGGUAAGGUGCCCAAGUGAAUACCCUUAGAAAAUCGGUCCACAACAACAAGUAACACCGUUUUGCCCUGAUAUGAAGGGAGCCCAGUGAUGAAAUCAAGGGAGAGGUCCUCCCAUGGCCGAAAGGGAACAGGUAAGGGACAAAGCAACCCGGCUGUGCGUUUCGUCUCAUAUUUGGUGAAUUGGCAGUCAGAGCAAUUGGCCACGAAGGUCGCAACAUCAGAACGGAGUCCCGGCCAUGUGAAAUUUUCCGAUAGCCUAGCUAUCGUCUUUGCGACGCCCAUAUGGCCCCCCAUCGGCGUCGCGUGGUACUCUAGCAUGAGUGUCUGAAUGAGAGGAAGCUCGCGGGGUAACCAAAUUUUGCCCUUGUAAAGGAUGAAAUUCUGACUAAGAGUGUAAUCGGGGUAGGUGGUGGGAGAAUUGAUGAUGUCCUGUCGGUGCUGACAAUACUGAGAAUUAUUGGUGAGCUGCUGACGUAAUUCAUCAAGAAAGCUCAAACAAGGAAUAGAUAAGAGCAACGAAAGUGAAGGAGUGAAUUCCGGUGACCGUGAGAGGGCAUCAGCUGCUUGGUUGUGCUUCCCGGAGCGGUACUGGAUUUGAUAAUCAAAUCCCAUUAAUCGGGCCAGGUACAUAUGUUGUUCGGGUGUUUGAAUAACUUGGGUGAGCAACUCUUUCAAGCUCCUAUGAUCGGUGACAAUGGUGAAUGAGUGGCCCAAGAGAUAUUGGCGCCACUUUUUCACUGCAGAGGUAAUAGCAAAUAAUUCACGAACAUAGGUGGAGGCCCUGAGGAGCUUCUUAGGGAAUGGCUUGCUGAAAUAAGCAAUGGGGUGUCCUCUCUGAGAUAGGACAGCGCCCAUGCCAUUGCCGGAAGCGUCAGUCUCCACUGUGAAAGGCUCCUGAAAGUCUGGAAGUGCAAGAACAGGAGUAGUUGACAAAGCCGAUUUGAGGUCUUCAAAGGCCUGUUGAGCUUGUGGGGUCCAACGAAAGGGGUCCGAGGUGGCCUUAACCAAAGGGUCAGCAAUCAUGGCAUAUCCCCGAAUAAAUCUACGAUAAAACCCGGCGAGCCCCAAAAAACUUCGAACAGCUCUGGUGGAGUGAGGUUGAGGCCAAUUAACAAUGGCAACAAUCUUAUCAGGCAUGGGCUCAACUCCGCGUUGGGAAACUAAAUGUCCCAAAUAUUCAACCUGUGAUUAACCAAAGGAACAUUUAGAUUUCUUAAGAACGAAGUGGUUGUCAAGCAGAACCUGGAAAGUUAAGUCCAGAUGGUGCAAGUGAUCAUCAAAAGAGCUGCUGUAGAUAAGUAUGUCAUCGAAGAAGACGAUGACGAAGCGACGAAGGAAGGGCCUGAAAAUGAGGUUCAUUGUAGCUUGAAAGGAAGAUGGAGCAUUACAGAGGCCAAAGGGCAUCACUCUGAACUCAUAAUGUCCAUGAUGAGUUCGAAAUGCAGUUUUAGGGAUAUCCUCUGAAUGCAUGCGUAUUUGAUGAUAACCUUGGAGAAGAUCGAGCUUGGAGAAGCAUUGAGCGCCCCCCAAUUCAUCAAGUAAUUCGUCUAUGGUGGGUAUCGGAAAUCUGUCCUUGACGGUGAGGGAAUUCAGUGCCCGGUAGUCGACACAAAAUCUCCAUGAUCCAUCAUGCUUCUUCACCAAUAAGACUGGGGAGGAAAAAGGGCUUGUACUGGGUUGGAUCAAACCCUUCUGAAGCAUUGAGUCGACUUGCAAUUCGAUUUCCUGUUUUUGGAAAUGGGGGUAACGAUAAGGUCUAACGUUGACCGGCGUUGAUAGGGGUAGUAAAUGAAUGUGGUGGUCAGUGGGACGUGGUGGUGGAAGUGUCGGAGAUGGUUGAAAGAGGACAUCGUACUUGGUGAGCAGAGCUUGAAGGGAAGGGGGUAAGGUGUCUGGGGAAGAAGGUGGGGUGUCAUCAGAAAGGACCGUGAUCUGAAAAUAAAGGCCCUGGGGCUGUGUCCGACAAAGACGGCAAAACUGGGAUGAAGUCAUGGAGCUCAGGCUAGCUUCGGGGUCUCCCUGUAAAGUAAUCAAUUGAUCAUUGUGAAUGAAUUGCAUGCUUAAGGUUGAGUAAUCAGUCAACACAGGGCCGAGGGAUUUGAGCCACUAGACCCCGAGGACCACGUUGGCACCCGAGAUUGGGAGGACAUGGAGGUCGACCGUGAAGCUGUGAUUCUGAAUCUGAACGGAAAUGGCGUCACAUAUGGAAUGACACUCCAAAUAUUGGCCAUUACCCACCAUUACACGCAAAGGAGAAGUGGUCCGGCAAGAGAGGCCCAAUUGGGUCACCAAUUGUUGCUGAACAAAGUUGUGGGUACUGCCCCCAUCAACCAGUAGCAACAAAGGGUGGCCGGAGAUGGCACCGAUGAAGCGUAUUGUCUCCGGAGCGACAUGGCCAGCAAGGGAAUUAAGUGAAAUUUGGGCUGAGUAUGAAAGUGGGCUUUCGGGUGGGUCUGUGGGUUGGAUAGGUACCGGGUCAUGAGUUAAAGUAAUGGGCGGGUCAAAAUUGGGUAUAUGAGAAAGGGGCGGGUCUUCCUCAUCAGUUAUGAGGAGAAAAAACCUAGAGGAGCAGCGGUGCCCUCGAUGGAAUUUCUCCUCACAAUUGAAACAGAGGCCACGUUCCCUUCGAGAGGCAAUUUCCUCUGGGGACAACCGUUUCCAGGUUUGGGGCGGUGGUCGCGGGGGCGGGGGUGGUAAGAGAGGUGGUAAGGUCGAAGAAAGUGGCGGUGAGGGUGUCUUGAGGAUAGGGGAAAGGGGUGGAGAGGAUACGGGGGCAGUAGGGUUGACUUGGGGAAAGGAGGGAAACACUGAGGGUGAUCUCUGGAAUUGGGGCAAAGGGGAAGGACGAGGACGAGGGUGUUGACGCAUCUCGGAGAACUUCUCCUCCUGCAAGCGCGCGAGACCCGCGGCUUGAACCAGGGUGGCCGGCUGGUGGGCUUGAACUUCUCUCCGUAUCUCCGGGAUGAGGCCGGAGAUAAAGCAACUAAGAAGGAAGGUGGAGGGCAACCCCGUCGUGCGAUUAGCAAGGUCCUCAAAGUCAGAGAGGUACUGGGUUACCGUCCCGGUCUGGGUAAGCUUGCUCAAAGCUCCGGAAGGGUCCUCGAAUUGUGAAGGGGCAAAGCGAGUGCGCAGUGCAUGCAAGAAGGCAGGCCAUGACGGAAAUUGCUCAGAGGUGUUCAUCCAUUGAAACCAGGCAAGCGCGCGACCUUCCAUAUAAAAGGAAGCAAUGGUGAGUUUGUCUGAGUCUGGGGUACCAUGGUACUCAAAGAAUUGAGUUAUUUUGUAAAUCCAGCCAAGUGGGUCUGACCCAUCAAAUCUUGGCACAUCUAAUUUCAAUCUGUGUAUGGGUGUAGGUGCCGGCGGUGGUAACGGCGGUGGAGUGGGUGGCGUGGUGGAGAACACUGGAGAAACUCGUUGAAUGAGUUCGUCAAUCUUGAGAGUCAUGGCAUUGACAGACUCUCCAAGAUAUAGCUGCUGUUUAGUGAGUCGGCUGAGGACAUCCUCCAGCUUGUCCGACGAAAAUGAGGCGGGUUCAGGGUCUACCAUGGUGAAGAGCAACGAGAGCACCAAAUUGGUACGGUACUCGUGCUCGGGUUGCUGGCUUCGAGGGCCAGGGGCCUCCUAAGAAGAAGAAAAGGGAUAAAGGGAGUCACGAAGGUAAUGAAGAAGGAGCGUAAUUGUUCUUAUUCAUUUGCUAGUUAUUUACAUAUAUUUAUAAUGCCCAACUGCUACAUGUAAUUAUCCAUAUUUGCAGGAAUAUCUGCAUAACAGAAUUUGAUUCUCGAUGCUUCCUAGCAAGAGACAUUUUGAUCUAGCAAAUCCUGUGCUGCCAGCUCAGCUCCUCAUCAUUUGCAAUUCCUUCUUCAAGCAUAAUCUCUGAGGUAUGCGGGCCUGGUAAUCUUCCUUUUCGGUUUUGCUGUUGGUACCCCUGUGUUUAUGUCUGUUGCUUCCUCUGUGUCUUCUUCUGGUGUUGCUCUGUUGCUAUCA